GGUCAAUUUUUAUACUCUAAUUUGAAAUUAGUUGUUUAAGCAUUAUUUGUUUGUUGAUCU
Molecule: transfer RNA, 60 nt
Filed under: Gregariella coralliophaga
Lineage: Eukaryota; Metazoa; Mollusca; Bivalvia; Mytilida; Mytilidae
Description: tRNA-Ser
Source: RNAcentral